This 1017-nucleotide long non-coding RNA is filed under the name Aquila chrysaetos chrysaetos. RNAcentral describes it as "lncRNA (ENSACCG00020015803.1)". The record is from RNAcentral. Lineage: Eukaryota; Metazoa; Chordata; Aves; Accipitriformes; Accipitridae.
CCGGUCGUCGUCUAGCCGCGGCCGCCGCGCUGCCGAGCCGGGCGCCGUCCGUCCGCAGAGCCGCUCCGCCGUCCGAGCGCGCCUACCGCCAGCUGGGGGUCCCCAACGGUAGCGGCGGCAACUGGCGGAAGUGACGCGCUGACUGACAGUGACUCAGCCAUCCGCCUGCCUCGGCCCGUGCGGGCUCGGGGGUGCCCGGAGAGCGGCCACAGCCGUUAGUGUCACCUCCUGCUCCGCUACGGUUUUGCAUUUCUCGUAACCGUAUUAAAAUAUUUCCCGUCAAUUUUCUGAAUUAAAGCGUCAAAAGCGAGCGCUCCCAAACAUUUCCCAACUGUAAGCGCGCCAGAAGUAACGAAGUGCCCUCUGACAAAGAGCUAAUGCAUUCUGAAAUACAAAAUUUAGCACCCUUAAACUAAGUUAGCAUAAGUUAGUGAGAAGAUGCGAGCUUACACCAGAAGUGUUAAAAGCCGUGCCUGACAGUCUGUGGUUCCCACAUGCCACGUUGAAACUACAACAGCUUUUUCUGUCAUGCAGUGCCAGCAGCCAUAGGUGGUGGGUUUAAUAAAGCAUUUAAGGAAAUUUGGAUCUAGUUAGUAAAAAUCCUCUCAGGAAAAGCUUUUCUUCCCAUGAAAAACUGACAAAGAAUAUGGGAAAGGAAAAAAAACGAUAGAAGUAGGGUGGGAUUAAUCGAAACUUCCAUAUUGCCAUUAGCUGGGAGGCGUUUGUUGCAGGUUUUCCAACAUGGACUCUAAAUUUUCUCUAGAGAUAUAUUUAUAAGACUCAUUAAGAGGAUUUACAUUUAGAAUCUGAAGAAGAGAGAGUCACAAUCCCACAGAAAAUUAGCCUGGUUUUUAAUCAGAUCUAAAACUGCAUUUUCCUGCUAGAAGACUUGGUAUCAUUAGGAGGUGCCAUACAAAAACAAUAAAAUGUCCGGGGUCAGGGGAAGCGACCUCUCAGGAGGUCUGUAUUUGCUGUCGGCCUGCUUUCACAGCAGAUUUCUCCCCUUGAAGAGCUAAU